GGAACACCAGUGGCGAAGGCGGCUCACUGGCUCGAUACUGACGCUGAGGUACGAAAGCGUGGGUAGCGAACAGGAUUAGAUACCCUGGUAGUCUACACUGUAAAUUCUGAGUGCUGUAAUUCAGACCAUAAAUUUGUUGUUCUGGAUUUUUUAAGCUAACGCCAUAAGCACUCCGCCUGAGGAGUACGACCGCAAGGUUGGAACUCAAAAGAAUUGACGGGGGCCUACAACGAGUGGUGGAGCAUGUGGUUUAAUGCGAUAAUCCGCGCAAAACCUUACCAACCCUUGACAUAAAGAAAAAGAAAAUAUUUUACAUAUUUAAAAUAAUUUUUGAUUGAAUAAGAUAGUUUUAAUAUCUUUUAAUAAAUUUCUUUACAGGUGUUGCACGACUGUC
This 394-nucleotide ribosomal RNA is filed under the name Asterionellopsis glacialis. Its description in RNAcentral is "partial Bacterial small subunit ribosomal RNA". It matches the Rfam family "Bacterial small subunit ribosomal RNA", at positions 703 to 1053 of the family's 1533-position model. Lineage: Eukaryota; Bacillariophyta; Plagiogrammaphyceae; Rhaphoneidales; Asterionellopsidaceae. The record is from RNAcentral.